This 229-nucleotide long non-coding RNA is filed under the name Zostera marina. RNAcentral describes it as "long non-coding RNA (ZMAR_LNC003424)". The record is from RNAcentral. Lineage: Eukaryota; Viridiplantae; Streptophyta; Magnoliopsida; Alismatales; Zosteraceae.
UCUUAGCAAGACUCUGUGUCACCAGAAGUCUUCGUCGAGACUUGAGUCAACCCUCUAAUCGCUAAUUGGGUCUAGCAAAUCGUCGAUUUGAGGAGAAGAUCACCAGAGUUUGGUAGACUGACGACUUCUCCCUCAAACUCGUCGAUUUCAACCCAAAUCGUCGAUUCCAACCCCAAAUUGUCGAUUUCGGAGAGUUACUCACGUCCAACCUGGGCCAUAAUGACAAGAC